This 497-nucleotide ribosomal RNA is filed under the name uncultured bacterium. RNAcentral describes it as "partial 16S ribosomal RNA". It matches the Rfam family "Bacterial small subunit ribosomal RNA", at positions 28 to 507 of the family's 1533-position model. The record is from RNAcentral.
GAUGAACGCUGGCGGCGUGCCUAAUACAUGCAAGUCGAGCGAACGGACGAGAAGCUUGCUUCUCUGAUGUUAGCGGCGGACGGGUAAGUAACACGUGGAUAACCUACCUAUAAGACUGGGAUAACUUCGGGAAACCGGAGCUAAUACCGGAUAAUAUUUUGAACCGCAUGGUUCAAAAGUGAAAGACGGUCUUGCUGUCACUUAUAGAUGGAUCCGCGCUGCAUUAGCUAGUUGGUAAGGUAACGGCUUACCAAGGCAACGAUGCAUAGCCGACCUGAGAGGGUGAUCGGCCACACUGGAACUGAGACACGGUCCAGACUCCUACGGGAGGCAGCAGUAGGGAAUCUUCCGCAAUGGGCGAAAGCCUGACGGAGCAACGCCGCGUGAGUGAUGAAGGUCUUCGGAUCGUAAAACUCUGUUAUUAGGGAAGAACUUAUGUGUAAGUAACUGUGCACAUCUUGACGGUACCUAAUCAGAAAGCCACGGCUAACUACGUG